RNAcentral lists this long non-coding RNA (348 nucleotides) under Bos grunniens (domestic yak). RNAcentral describes it as "lncRNA (ENSBGRG00000009834.1)". The record is from RNAcentral. Lineage: Eukaryota; Metazoa; Chordata; Mammalia; Artiodactyla; Bovidae.
AUGGUCCAGUUCAUGUCCCAGCCUUUCCAUGAAGCUCUUAAAGGAGAUCAUAGCUUAACUUUCCUACGCAGGCAAGAUGUCUCGACAUCUUGCACAGGGAUAUUCACACAAGAGGCUGCGAGAUGUCCACCAAGAGGACAGGAUCAGGUCUCUGACCGGGAGGUCAGCGUCUCUUCUCCUGGUUUAUGGGGUUCCACUGGCAGGAGGACUCUGCACUCCACUGAAGCUUGGACUCGGGCUGAGACUUACAGUCCACAGGGGACUGAGGGAGAGGGAGGGCGUAACUGGGGCAUCAUAGAUGCAGUAAGUUCCAAUGGCUGCUUUUCAGUCACUAGUAGAAACCUAUGA